Brachypodium distachyon (stiff brome) is the source of this 810-nucleotide long non-coding RNA. RefSeq lists it as uncharacterized. The transcript is spliced from 2 exons. Lineage: Eukaryota; Viridiplantae; Streptophyta; Magnoliopsida; Poales; Poaceae. The record is from RefSeq and is a predicted model, not a curated record.
GCUGGAUCUGCAAUUUUGAAAGAGAAAAAAAAUGUCAUGAUCCUGUGAUUUGAGGUUAAACAUGGAAGCAUUUCAUCAGACUCGGCAUUGGUUAUAUAGGUAUUCUCACACUCGUGUAAUCUUCAUGUAGGACGCCUUGGAGGGUCAUCACCUCCUCAAGGACCCACCCCUCUCUAUUCUUCAGCACAACCAGCUUUCUGCAUCACCUUCUGCUCCAAUGGACCUCCAGAGAACAUCUCCAUCAAGGCAUUCACCUGUGAAUACAUAAUUCAAGAAAUUUAAACAGAUGUUUCCGCAAGUGAUUAUACAAGGUUCCAGACAUGAGUUUAUUGACAGGAGAGCAAGACUCACAUCGACCGAAAGAACUGCUGUGUAGACUUCUGUCAUUUUUACGUCUUCGUUGCCCAACAGAGAACCUUCGUCAGAGGCGAGCUGUUUCGGUUCAGGUUCUUUGUCAUUCACCUCUCCCUUUUGUUCUAGGCCUGAUAACCGCAUUUUCCAGAGUGCCAUAAUAAUUCUGCCAGAUAUCAGCUUGAUAUAUCAUCAAUCAUUUGAUAAGAGAAGCUCAUGGCGAAUUGUAAUUGAAGAAUGGGAGUCAAGUUGAUGUUUAGCUCAAGGUAUUAUUUGUUUGUGUGCAGUAUUUUUCGUUCAAUAAAAAUUAGUAAUAGUUCUAAUAAAAGGAAACGUAUAAUUAUUUGCCUCCAGUAUUUUUGUUCAAUGAAAAUGUACCUAGGAUGACCUCAUACCAAUUACUCUCUCCAUCCAGAAAUUUAGAUUGUCGUCAGAAGCAUGCAGUCAACCUUUUUGAAA